RNAcentral lists this ribosomal RNA (403 nucleotides) under uncultured bacterium. Its description in RNAcentral is "partial 16S ribosomal RNA". It matches the Rfam family "Bacterial small subunit ribosomal RNA", at positions 30 to 526 of the family's 1533-position model. The record is from RNAcentral.
AUUGAACGCUGGCGGCAGGCCUAACACAUGCAAGUCGAGCGAGCGGCGGACGGGUGAGUAAUGUAUGGGGACUGCCCGAUAGAGGGGGAUAACUACUGGAAACGGUGGCUAAUACCGCCUACUGUCGGAUAACCCAUAUGGUAUUAGCUAGUAGUUAAGGUACUGGCUUACCUAGGCGACGAGCCCUAGCUGGUCUGAGAGGAUGAGCAGCCACACUGUGACUGAGACACGGCCCAGACUCCUACGGAGGCAGCAGUGGGGAAUAUUGAACAAUGGGCGCAAGCCGGAUGCAGCCAUGCCGCGUGUAUGAAGAAGGCCCUAGGGUUGUAAAGUACUUUCAGUCGGGAGGCGUUACCGACAGAAGAAGCACCGGCUAACUCCGUGCCAGCAGCCGCGGUAAUUC